UGCUUUUGCGUUCUGGGCUUGGGUUGGUGGUCGACAUAGUGUUUGCAGCGCUUUUGGAGUGUUACCUUUAUCUCUCCAAUAUGGAUUCACAGUUGUUGAGAAGUGCUUUUAGGUUUGUUGAGUGUAUGUGUUUCAUUUCUUGGAUAUCCUGCAAGAGCCAUUUUACCUUAUUCUCAAGCUCUGGAGAAGCUUGCCCCUCACAUUCAACAGG
Molecule: non-coding RNA, 211 nt
Organism: Camellia sinensis
Lineage: Eukaryota; Viridiplantae; Streptophyta; Magnoliopsida; Ericales; Theaceae
Source: RefSeq, a predicted model, not a curated record